Long non-coding RNA from Pseudoliparis swirei, 361 nucleotides. RefSeq lists it as uncharacterized. The record is from RefSeq and is a predicted model, not a curated record. NCBI's taxonomy places the organism in Eukaryota, Metazoa, Chordata, Actinopteri, Perciformes, Liparidae. The transcript has 2 exons.
CUCUUCCGGUGAGAAGAUGUAAAUCUAUUAACAUGACUUCGGAAAAAGUACAUUAGUUCACGGAGCAGAGCGAGUGGAGGGGGAGAGGUUUAUAUUAAGAAGUUUGUGCAAGUCAGAAUCGAUGGCCCCAACCACGACUCCGGUCCAAGUACCUUGAAUUAGUUGUCUAUGAUGUAUGUUAUUCACUGUGUAUUUCCCUUGUGUAAUCUGAUUAAUGAUGCGCGUUUCCAAGAUUCCAAUUAGCGAAUUGCUUGAAGCAUUUGGCCACUGAAUUGUUACCCUGGAUAUACCUUAUGUGUUGCACCUUUUAAUUGCCAUGGUAUUUACUCUAUCCAUUAAAAUGCAGCACAAUUAAUUCCCA